Long non-coding RNA from Amblyraja radiata (thorny skate), 150 nucleotides. RefSeq lists it as uncharacterized. Lineage: Eukaryota; Metazoa; Chordata; Chondrichthyes; Rajiformes; Rajidae. The transcript is spliced from 3 exons. The record is from RefSeq and is a predicted model, not a curated record.
ACAAUCAAUCAAUUAUAUUUGUAUAGCACAUUUAAAAACAACUCACGUUGGCCAAAGUACUGUACAUCAGCGCAGGUACUAAUGUGCUAUAUGCAUUGGUACACAGACCUAAUAAUACAUACAUAAACUCAAACAUACAGCGCUCCCCCA